This 339-nucleotide ribosomal RNA is filed under the name Leptodactylus cunicularius (rabbit-burrow frog). Its description in RNAcentral is "partial 12S ribosomal RNA". It matches the Rfam family "Bacterial small subunit ribosomal RNA", at positions 1035 to 1522 of the family's 1533-position model. Lineage: Eukaryota; Metazoa; Chordata; Amphibia; Anura; Leptodactylidae. The record is from RNAcentral.
CAGCCUGUAUACCUCCGUCGCCAGCUUACCGCGUGAGCGCCAUUAAGNNNNNNNNAUGCCCAUACGCCAACACGUCAGGUCAAGGUGCAGCUAAUGAGAUGGGAAGAGAUGGGCUACACUUUCUACCAUAGAAAAAACGAAAGACUACCUAUGAAAUCUAGUCAGAAGGAGGAUUUAGUAGUAAAAAGAAAACAGAGUGUUCUUUUUAAUCCGGCACUGGGGUGUGUACACACCGCCCGUCACCCUCUUCAAGGCCCAAUCAAAGUACAUAACCAAACUUUGCCACAUAGAAGAGGCAAGUCGUAACAUGGUAAGUAUACCGGAAGGUGUGCUUGGAAA